This 253-nucleotide ribosomal RNA is filed under the name uncultured bacterium. RNAcentral's name for it is "partial 16S ribosomal RNA". It matches the Rfam family "Bacterial small subunit ribosomal RNA", at positions 524 to 776 of the family's 1533-position model. The record is from RNAcentral.
GACAGAGGAGCCAAGCGUUGUCCGGAUUUACUGGGCGUAAAGCGCAUGCAGGCGGAUGCGCGCGUGGGGUGUGAAAUCUGGCCGCUUAACGGCCAGGCGCCAUCCCAUACGGCGCGUCUGGAGUGAUGCAGAGGUCGAUGGAAUUGCCGGUGUAGUGGUGAAAUGCGUAGAGAUCGGCAGGAACACCCAGGGGGAAACCAGUCGACUGGGCAUCUACUGACGCUGAGGUGCGAGAGCGUGGGGAGCGAACAGG